RNAcentral lists this RNase P RNA (306 nucleotides) under uncultured Anaeroplasma sp. RNAcentral describes it as "Bacterial RNase P class B". It matches the Rfam family "Bacterial RNase P class B". From Rfam's summary of the family: Ribonuclease P (RNase P) is a ubiquitous endoribonuclease, found in archaea, bacteria and eukarya as well as chloroplasts and mitochondria. Its best characterised activity is the generation of mature 5'-ends of tRNAs by cleaving the 5'-leader elements of precursor-tRNAs. The record is from RNAcentral. Lineage: Bacteria; Bacillati; Mycoplasmatota; Mollicutes; Anaeroplasmatales; Anaeroplasmataceae.
AAAUGUUAGGAAAGUCCAUGCUAGCACAGUCUGUGAUGACUGUAGUGUUUGUGAUAGCUUAAUAAAUAAGGCUAUGCACCUCCGGGUGACGGCGAGAUGAUACCUAAGUCUUUGAUAUGGUAAAGUCUUAUAAAGUGCCACAGUGACGAAUCAUUUAGAAAUAAAUGGGUGAAACGUUGGUAAACCCCUCAAGCUAGAAACCCAAAUUUGGUAGGGGAGUCAGGAAAGAAGAAUCAGAAUUUGAUCCUGGAAGAGAAAUCUUAGAUAAAUAGUUACCACCUUUUAGGUACAGAACAUGGCUUAUAA